Non-coding RNA from Vibrio ezurae NBRC 102218, 139 nucleotides. The record is from Rfam. NCBI's taxonomy places the organism in Bacteria, Pseudomonadati, Pseudomonadota, Gammaproteobacteria, Vibrionales, Vibrionaceae.
CCAUCUGUAUCACCAGAUGAACCUACGAGCCUGAAUAAAGCAGCGGCUCGGACAAUGUAACGAAACUUGGCCGUUGGGCUGAGUGGGAAAAGAAUCGUGAGAGGACGUUCCUCCUGAAAACCACAAUUCGGGUAAGUGC